AGCCAGUGAUGAAAUUUGAUUCUGCCAGAUGAAUUACUGUGAUAUCACCCAUUUCCGUUCCAUUCUUUCUGAGGUU
This is a small nucleolar RNA of Apteryx haastii (Great spotted kiwi), 76 nucleotides long. Lineage: Eukaryota; Metazoa; Chordata; Aves; Apterygiformes; Apterygidae. The record is from Ensembl.